GACGAACGCUGGCGGCGUGCCUAAUACAUGCAAGUAGAACGCUGAAGGAGGAUCUUGCCCUUCUGGAUGAGUUGCGAACGGGUGAGUAACGCGUAGGUAACCUGCCUGGUAGCGGGGGAUAACUAUUGGAAACGAUAGCUAAUACCGCAUAAUAGUAGAUGUUGCAUGAUAUUUACUUAAAAGGUGCAAUUGCACCACUACCAGAUGGACCUGCGUUGUAUUAGCUAGUUGGUGGGGUAACGGCUCACCAAGGCGACGAUACGUAGCCGACCUGAGAGGGUGAUCGGCCACACUGGGACUGAGACACGGCCCAGACUCCUACGGGAGGCAGCAGUGGGGAAUCUUCGGCAAUGGGCGAAAGUCUGACCGAGCAACGCCGCGUGAGUGAAGAAGGUUUUCGGGUCGUAAAGCUCUGUUGUAAGGGAAGAACGAGUGUGAGAGUGGAAAGUUCACACUGGGACGGUAUCUUACCAGAAAGAGACGCCUAACUACGU
RNAcentral lists this ribosomal RNA (494 nucleotides) under uncultured bacterium. RNAcentral describes it as "partial 16S ribosomal RNA". It matches the Rfam family "Bacterial small subunit ribosomal RNA", at positions 28 to 506 of the family's 1533-position model. The record is from RNAcentral.